Molecule: ribosomal RNA, 254 nt
Filed under: uncultured bacterium
Lineage: Bacteria
Description: partial 16S ribosomal RNA
Rfam family: Bacterial small subunit ribosomal RNA
Source: RNAcentral
UACGAAGGGGGCUAGCGUUGCUCGGAAUUACUGGGCGUAAAGGGUGCGUAGGCGGGUCUUUUAAGUCAGAGGUGAAAUCCUGGAGCUCAACUCCAGAACUGCCUUUGAUACUGAGGAUCUUGAGUUCGGGAGAGGUGAGUGGAACUGCGAGUGUAGAGGUGAAAUUCGUAGAUAUUCGCAAGAACACCAGUGGCGAAGGCGGCUCACUGGCCCGAUACUGACGCUGAGGCACGAAAGCGUGGGGAGCAAACAGG